Vigna umbellata (rice bean) is the source of this 3382-nucleotide long non-coding RNA. RefSeq lists it as uncharacterized. NCBI's taxonomy places the organism in Eukaryota, Viridiplantae, Streptophyta, Magnoliopsida, Fabales, Fabaceae. The record is from RefSeq and is a predicted model, not a curated record.
CCUCUCUUUUAGACAACAUCUCCAAAUAUUUUCCCCCAAAACCCAAAUAGAAAGAGUGUAUCUUUCCAUUAACCAACCCAGUAAAUCACUAACAAAAAACUCUAACCAUAACAUAGCGAAAGUUAACUACUUAAGGAGAUUUUAUCAAACAUUCCCAAAUUCACAGCUCCCUAAUUAAUCCACAGAAACCCAGAAGUCAGUCAAAGCUUAGAUUUUCAGCACAAGUGAUGGGAGAACCAAUUCGAUCCACCAAUAAAUCAAAAACAGAAUAGGGCACCAUAGAAACCCACAUAAAAAAUUAUGGGAAAAAGAAACAUUUUGCGAGAACCUUUUCUUCAUCAGGAACGACGGCACAGAAGAUCGCUAUAGCGUGUUGAUAAAAUUUGUCGAUCAAUUCGCCGCCGAUGAAUUUUACAGCUAUUUCAAUGGCAGGAAAUUUUCUCCUGCCGAGGGUAUUGAAGAAGAUUAUUAAAGAAGAUAUAGAGUAUGAGAUUGGAAGAAGAGGCGACCGAGUAUGGCUUGCAUUUAGCGUCUAGGAAUCUUCAGGUUGUGAAAUUUGGAAUUUCUAUGUAGAUUUAUUGUGAGGCCCAAUUCAAAUGUAAUUUGGAAUUGAUUUUUGGAUUUCUUUUCAAAGGCUUGAUGCAUAGGGAAGAAGAUUUCUGGGUGAUGGAUAGGGAAGAUGAUUUUUGGGUGGUGCUUCAUUGUAAUGGAAGAUGACUUUUUUUUUUAAUUUCUUAAUCAAACAUUUUUCACGUCAAACUUAACUUAAUCUCGUUAAGCCAAUUUAACGGCAGGGAUCUAAUUGAGUCAAUUUUUCACUUAUAAGGAAUAAAUUGGGGAAACCGAUAAAAUAUUAUGAAGGUGAUGACUUGGGUCCAAGCCCAUCAAAUAAUCAAGGCCCAAAUACUAGAAGCUAUAAAAGCACACCCAUCAUCUUGUAUGAAGUCACUUUUGAAGAAUAUUGAGUUUUACUCUGCUGAUGCAUUUUCAGCACCCUAAACUCUGUCCAAAAGUCACUUCUAUGAGCUUUCCUUCUCCAUCUAGCUUCCUUUCAGUGGAAGGCCGCCUAAGCUAGCUUCCACCCACACCAAACAGCUCUUCAACCAUCCUCUACACCAUUGAUUUCACCUUUGCAUCUUGCUGCCCCAAUCUGGUUUCCAUCUUCCGCUGCAUUCCAUUCAUCACCCUUGUAGGAGCAACCUCAUCAAGUGGUAUUCAGAGCUCCGAUUUGUUCUGCAUCACACGCUUUUUGCUUUAGUGCACUAUUACAUUGAUUUUUGGGUUUCAAUAGAUUUUCAAUCGAGUCAUUUAAUUGUUCCAAAUUUUAUUCAAUUUAAUUUCAUCAUUUUAAUCGGUUUAUUCAUUUGUUUUGAGUAUUUUCAUUUUGGAAAUCUGAUCUGUCAUGUAUAGUCAUGUCCAAUUAAUUCAAAUUGUCAAAUUCUGAAGUAAAUUAGUGCUUGGAUAAAUUUGUGUUACUUGAAUGGUUAUUCGAUAGCUGCACAUUAUAAGAGCAAGGAUCCAAAGAGCUCAAGUGCAACCUGGUUCCAUCAAGUGCAGUACCAAUUUUCACAGUAACCAAAUCUGAUUUCAAUUUGUUUGAAUCUACACGUGUAAAAUUGAAAUCUGGAUAUAUUUGAGUUGCUGCAAAGUAUGAUGAGUGCAUACCAAAUGAACAGUACAUUGUCCAAGACAAUAGCAAUUGGUUGUACCAUCCUGCAAAAUCCAGAAUUUAGUGCCUAAGCAGCUUGACCAAACUACACCCUUCUUUGUUUGAGUUUCUACAUUUUUUAAUCUGUCCAGUUUAUAACUCUCUGCUGGACAUCUUUAAAAUCAUUCCUAGAGUCUUGUUCAAAUUUAAAUUGUUGUUCUGGAGUCAUAAGACUUGUUUCCAGUUCCAUUUGAAUCUUCUGUUGAAAUUUGGUUGGUGAAUUGAACCAAUUUUGGAUGUUAAGAGCAACUCAUAGAGUGAAAUUUUGAUUUGCAAAUAGUUAGCCUCUGCUGGCAGCUUAUACAAGUCAUAUUUGGUAAAAUAAAGUUGCUCAAAUCAUAAAAUUAAGUAUCCAAACUUGUUUGUGCAAAAUGGCCAUUCAAACCACCAAUUUUCCAACACUUUUUCUGAUAUGAGUUGCAGAAAUUUGUGAAUCUUUGCUUGCUGUGAUUAUUGCAUCAAAUUACAUCUUCAAUUGGUAGCAAAAGCUUGGUUCAUUUGAUUAAAAAGAAGUGCACAAGUCAAAAUUCACAAUAGACUGCAUUUUAAAAAGUUGUGUGAACCAAUGCCAAUAAAAUUUUUUUCAAAUGUGAUGCACAUUUUACAGAAGCUCUCUUAGGCAUUUCUUCAAACAGUUUUGCCUAUUUUAAAAUUGAGUUCGAAUUAGCCAUCUCUACAACUUGUAAUUGUUUCUUGCUUUUAACUCCACUCUAGAGUCUCUCCUAAGUUCAUAUUGAGUGCCACCUUUCAUUGAAAACCACUUAAUUGUUUGAUUUGAUUUGUUUGAAAAUUUUGCACAUCAACUGUUUGAUGAAAGUUCAGUUGUGCAUUUUGGUUUAGUAGUUUCUGGCAGCAGCAGGGUUGGAUUUUCUUACGUUUUAAUCACUUGAAGGUGGUUCUUUUGAGCUCUAUUUUUGGUGCAGAAUUAUCCAGGCAGUCCUCCAACACUGGUAGCAUCCUAGGAAGUGGAGUGGAGCAAGGAAAGAUCAACUUUGGAGUUGAUUUCUGGUGCAGCAGUUCACGUCCUUGGGUCUGCACAAGUCUCUGAUUGUUGUAACAGCAGAGUGCAUUUCUUGUCAACUGUGAGAUUAGUAUUGAUAUUUGAUCCAGGAGGGACUCUUGUGAAGCCAACAAAAAUAAGUCCUCACAAAGACAAACCAUCAGAUUUAAGGACAAAUCCUUUCCAAGGGGGAGGGGAUGAUGACUUGGGCCCAAGCCCAUCAAAUAAUCAAGGCCCAAAUAAUAGAAGCUAGCCAAGGAAAGCAUAAUUGCAGUCCAUGAAGGUGCGCCCAACGCAAGCCCUAAGAGUGCUUAGCCCAUCUUCACUUUGUAGCAUGUGUAUUAGGUGCUUAAUUAUAUUUCAGCAUGAGUUGCACACAAGGACACAUGGCUUGUGAUCCAUUAUACACGACUGAUUAUAAGCUCAACCUAGAAGCACUGAAUGGGUAGUUGAAAGUGCUAUAAAAGCACACCCAUCAUCUUGUACGAAGUCACUUUUGAAGAAUAUUGAGUUUUACUCUGCUGAUGCAUUUCCAAUACCCUAUACUUUGUCCAAAAGUCACUUCUAUGAGCUUUCCUUCUCCAUCUAGCUUCCUUUCAGUGGAAGGCCGCCUAAGCUAGCUUCCACCCACACCAAACAACUCUUCAACCAUCCUCUACACCAUUGAUUUCACC